RNAcentral lists this ribosomal RNA (224 nucleotides) under uncultured bacterium. Its description in RNAcentral is "partial 16S ribosomal RNA". It matches the Rfam family "Bacterial small subunit ribosomal RNA", at positions 15 to 231 of the family's 1533-position model. The record is from RNAcentral.
GAUCUGGCUCAGGAUGAACGCUAGCUACAGGCUUAACACAUGCAAGUCGAGGGGCAGCAUGGUCUUAGCUUGCUAAGGCCGAUGGCGGCCGGUGCACGGGUGAGUAACACGUAUCCAACCUGCCGUCUACUCUUGGACAGCCUUCUGAAAGGAAGAUUAAUACAAGAUGGCAUCAUGAGUCCGCAUGUUCACAUGAUUAAAGGUAUUCCGGUAGACGAUGGGGA